This 58-nucleotide transfer RNA is filed under the name Cernuella virgata. RNAcentral's name for it is "tRNA-Asp". Lineage: Eukaryota; Metazoa; Mollusca; Gastropoda; Stylommatophora; Geomitridae. The record is from RNAcentral.
AUUUUACCUAGUUAAUUUAUAAUACCUGCUUGUCAAGCAGGAGAUACUUCUUAGUGGU